UACAUGUGGGGCAAGCGUUGUUCGGAAUUACUGGGCAUAAAGGGUGCGUAGGCGGCGCGGUAAGUCGGGUGUGAAAUCUCGGAGCUUAACUCCGAAACUGCAUUCGAUACUGCCGUGCUUGAGGACUGGAGAGGAGACUGGAAUUUACGGUGUAGCGGUGAAAUGCGUAGAUAUCGUAAGGAAGACCAGUGGCGAAGGCGGGUCUCUGGACAGUUCCUGACGCUGAGGCACGAAGGCUAGGGGAGCAAACGGG
This 253-nucleotide ribosomal RNA is filed under the name uncultured bacterium. RNAcentral describes it as "partial 16S ribosomal RNA". It matches the Rfam family "Bacterial small subunit ribosomal RNA", at positions 524 to 776 of the family's 1533-position model. The record is from RNAcentral.